GUCACACCCGUUCCCAUGCCGAACACGGUAGUUAAGCUCUCCAGCGCCGAUGGUAGUUGGGGGUUUCCCCCUGUGAGAGUAGGACGUUGCUGGGC
Molecule: ribosomal RNA, 95 nt
Filed under: Evansella vedderi
Lineage: Bacteria; Bacillati; Bacillota; Bacilli; Caryophanales; Bacillaceae
Source: RNAcentral